GAUGAACGCUGGCGGCGUGCCUAAUACAUGCAAGUCGAGCGAACGGACGAGAAGCUUGCUUCUCUGAUGUUAGCGGCGGACGGGUGAGUAACACGUGGAUAACCUACCUAUAAGACUGGGAUAACUUCGGGAAACCGGAGCUAAUACCGGAUAAUAUUUUGAACCGCAUGGUUCAAAAGUGAAAGACGGUCUUGCUGUCACUUAUAGAUGGAUCCGCGCUGCAUUAGCUAGUUGGUAAGGUAACGGCUUACCAAGGCAACGAUGCAUAGCCGACCUGAGAGGGUGAUCGGCCACACUGGAACUGAGACACGGUCCAGACUCCUACGGGAGGCAGCAGUAGGGAAUCUUCCGCAAUGGGCGAAAGCCUGACGGAGCAACGCCGCGUGAGUGAUGAAGGUCUUCGGAUCGUAAAGCUCUGUUAUUAGGGAAGAACAUAUGUGUAAGUAACUGUGCACGUCUUGACGGUACCUAAUCAGAAAGCCACGGCUAACUACGUG
RNAcentral lists this ribosomal RNA (497 nucleotides) under uncultured bacterium. RNAcentral describes it as "partial 16S ribosomal RNA". It matches the Rfam family "Bacterial small subunit ribosomal RNA", at positions 28 to 507 of the family's 1533-position model. The record is from RNAcentral.